This 520-nucleotide ribosomal RNA is filed under the name uncultured Glomus. RNAcentral describes it as "SSU rRNA". It matches the Rfam family "Eukaryotic small subunit ribosomal RNA", at positions 569 to 1089 of the family's 1831-position model. Lineage: Eukaryota; Fungi; Glomeromycota; Glomeromycetes; Glomerales; Glomeraceae. The record is from RNAcentral.
AGCAGCCGCGGUAAUUCCAGCUCCAAUAGCGUAUAUUAAAGUUGUUGCAGUUAAAAAGCUCGUAGUUGAAUUUCGGGGUCAGUAGAUUGGUCGUGCCACUGGUAUGUACUGGUCUUACUGGCUCCUCCUUCCUGAUGAACCGUAAUGCCAUUAAUUUGGUGUUGCGGGGAAACUGGACUGUUACUUUGAAAAAAUUAGAGUGUUUAAAGCAGGCUAACGCUUGAAUACAUUAGCAUGGAAUAAUGAAAUAGGACGUUCGAUCUUAUUUUGUUGGUUUCUAGGAUUGACGUAAUGAUUAAUAGGGAUAGUUGGGGGCAUUAGUAUUCAAUUGUCAGAGGUGAAAUUCUUGGAUUUUAUUGAAGACUAACUACUGCGAAAGCAUUUGCCAAGGAUGUUUUCAUUAAUCAAGAACGAAAGUUAGGGGAUCGAAGACGAUCAGAUACCGUCGUAGUCUUAACCAUAAACUAUGCCGACUAGGGAUCGGAUGAUGUUAAUUUUUAAUGUACUCAUUCGGCGCCUU